This 28558-nucleotide long non-coding RNA is filed under the name Arabidopsis thaliana (thale cress). RNAcentral's name for it is "long non-coding RNA (ATHA_LNC000689)". The record is from RNAcentral. Lineage: Eukaryota; Viridiplantae; Streptophyta; Magnoliopsida; Brassicales; Brassicaceae.
CCUCUUUAAUGGUUGCAGCUCGAGCUCCUUCAUUUGCAGAGAAUAGCUUCUGAAAAUACUCGGAGAUAACAUUGAGGAUCCCUGCCUCUUCAUACUCAGGUACUCCAUCCUCCUUUUCUAUCACUGAGAACUUAUUUAUCACCGUUCUACCUCUAGUGAUGGCAUGGAAGUAACCCGAAUUUUUAUCUCCUAAGGCAAGCCAUAACUGUCUGCUUCUCUGCUUCCAAUACUCUUCCUCUGCCUUGUAUGCUAAGAGCAAAUUAGUAUUGAUAGUCGAUAACAGCUCUUGAUUGUGAUCUUGACUAGACAUUGCCUCUUCAAGUUUUUGACGAUUUUCCUCAAUAAGUUUUUGACUACUUUGCUGCUUAGCCCUAGACCACUUAACAAUUUCCAAACGACAUCUGCUAAUUUUUUCCUCCACAAUGUCUGUAUCAUAAAGAUUCCAGGCCUCUUGAACAAGGGCUGUGACUUCAUCGUUGUUUUUUAGACGCCUAUCGUAACGAAACACUCCUUUUUUCUUUUUCUUUGACAGGUCAAAGUGGGUAAGAAGUGGUCUGUGGUCUGACCCUUCAAAGCAAAGGUAAAUGCAUCUACUAGCAGGAUAAUCUUCAGCCCACGCUCCAUUGGACAAUGCACGAUCAAGCCUGCAAUGCACAACAUGAUCAUGUCUCUUUCCACGCCAAGAUAAGAAAUUCCCUGAAUGUCUUAAAUCAUACAAAUCACAUUCCGCCAUAAAUGAUCUAAUGUCCACAAAAGUUCCUUCAUAUCUUGCAGGUCCUCCUUGUUUUUCAGAAGAAUCUAUGAUAUAAUUGAAUUCUCAGUAAGAUACCAGGGUUCACUUCUAUCUUUCCCUAAACUGGUAAGCUGAUCCCAUAUAGCUUUCCGCUUUGAUCUGUCUGGUUCCCCAUAGAUGAAAGUAGCAAAGAAGUGUUUACCCGCCGCCUUAAUCUUUGUGUCAAUAAAGUUGUUGCAGGAAUAAAGGAUUGUCACUUCUACUUCAUGUUUCCAGAGAAGGGCCAGACCACCACCUCCUGGGCUAUGCGGGGGAACAAGGUGAUGUGCAGAAAAAUUCAUCCAGUUUAAAGAGGUGAGGGUUGUCUCAUUGGGGUUCUUGGUUUCCAUAAGGAACAGAAUUUCUGGUGAGAUUGAAGAAUGCAUCUCACGCAGCCGUUGUACUGUUGUGGGGCUCCCCAAUCCACAACAGUUCCAGCUCAGAACUUUUAAGGAAUCUGAUUUGGUAGAUGGUGAAAAUCCACCUUAUCUUUCACUCUUGCAGGUAUAAUAGUUACUCGUGGAGUAGGUUGACUUGAGGAAGGGUUGGAGGCUCCAGGUUGGAGGAGAAGCUUUUGCUUUGUUUUCGUGGUUCUGCUAGGGCCAGCAGAUUCUUGUAUGUGAGCUUCAUUCUUCUCAGGUGUGGAUUUCCUUUUAGGGGAGUUCUGGAUAAGUCCCUUUCUUUUGCUUGAUUUUGCUCCCAGCAAUGGUAAAGCAGCUUUGUUUUGGGGUUUAGCUAAAGGUGGACGUCCUCUUUUCUUUUUUGCAGGAGCAACACAGCUUGUAGUCUGAUCAGCCGGAUGACUUUGUAGGUCUUGGUACUGAGAGAGAUUAUCUUGUGUUGGAAGAUCUUCAGAGGCAAGGUAAUUUUGGUUUGAGAUGAGUGCAGCUUCCAGCAUUAUAGAAGCUGUUUCUGCCAUGAGUCCUUUUUCUUCUCCUUGAAAAACUCUUCGUUUUCUUGCAGCGCUUUCAGUUGGGUGUGCACAACUAACAUAUUGCAGAGUGACGUCUCUAAGCUCUCCCAUGAUUUGGUCAUUAGUAGGGAUGGGAGGAGGAGGUGGUGGAGUAACCUCAUAAGAAUCCAGGUUUCUCUCCAACGGGGGACGUCUUGUUCUCGAAGUUUCAGAGCUAUCAUUUCUAGGACUGAGUCUAUGUGUGGCUCUAACCCUCCAUUGAGGAGUCUGAGAAGAAUCUCUUCUUGGCCCCUCUCUAAUAGGAUCCUGAUAUCUUGAGGUACCCCUUUUGUCUCCUGUCUCAUGGCGACCUAAAUUCCUUCUGUUAGGGUUAAAAGGAUUUCUGUGUCUUCUCUCCUCAUAGGGUCCAGCUCGGCGAGAUAGAUGUUCUCUAGAAGUUGAGGUCUACUCCUCUUACUUUUCCAAGAUCUUGAGAACGACUUUGAUUAAUAGAAGGGUUUCUUGAAGGCGCUCUUGAGGGAGAUGAUUCUCUUAGAGAUCUAGGGGCUAUGAAAUUGUCUCUAGGAGUGUAAUAAUUUCUAGCCAGAUCCUUGGAUGCCUCUUCACUUCUGGAAGAUCUGAACUUUGUAGUGUCCUCAUUUUCUGAAACCAGAUCUGGACAGAAUUUCUUUUCAUGAGUAAGUCUUAGGCAAUGUGAGCAGUAAUUUUUGAGAUUCUUGUAGACUAACGAGAUCAGAGCUUCGCUGCCAUCAGGAAAGUCUACCAUGGUGUCAAGGACUAGCGAUUUCAGGCCAUCAACAAAGACCUUUAGCUUUGCUGAAGAAUUGGUUAUUUCAAAAUCCAGAAUUUCUCCCAAGUCUACGCCAAUAGCUUUGAGCAUAUCCUGGUGCCAGUAAUGUUUUGGGAGUCCUUGGAUAUCAAUCCAAAAGGGGAUCUUAGAGGUAAAGGUGUCAGAGAUUGUAGGUUCCCACUUCUGAAGGAUGACCAUCCAUUGAUCAUAGUGGUAAGGCUUAUUGUCUAGUACUUUUUGCAUGUCUUCUUCAAAGUCAAAACAAAACUGGAAGCAGCCUCUUCCCAGAUCUGAACCCGUAGCUUUUCCUUUCAGAUUCCACCGGUUUGAGAGGAAAGGAAAGAGAGACCAUAAUCGUUGGAUAGAUGGGUUUGUGAGGCGAUCCAUUAGAGUUAGGGAAUUAGCUUCGAUGAGGUCUGAAGUGUCCAGUUCUGGUGCACGAAUUCUUCUUCGAAUUGGUGGGGAUAGUUCUCUCUCUAUUCAUUUACCUUUGAGAUGGUAGGGGAUUCUUGAACUCAUGAUUACAGAGGGCGUAAGGUUUGAAGCGGAGAGGCAUCAGGGAUAAAGUAGAGAUUCAAACAGUUUCAGGGUUUCAAACAGGAUAACAGGGAUACACAUGAUUAAAAGUUUGAAAAGGGUUACAAAACAGAAUUAGAGAGUAAAAGCAGAGACACUACCGGGAUGCAUAGAGAAGAUACCUCCACUUCUCGGUGAGGUGAAAACAGUUGAAAACGCCGGAAAAAGGUCACUGGAACUCCAUCUUUGCCCGUUGUGUAAAGCCAUUUUUGGAAGGAACUGUUGGAUAAUUCUGUUUUAGUAAAAAGAGGUAGCUGAGAUCUGGUUUUUCAAAAGUUUCCAACUGCUAAUAGACUGCAUUGGAGAAAGUGCCUGGGAGAAAACUCAACGCUCUUUUUAACCUUCAGUCAAUAGCCUCUGAAUUCUUUUCCUCUGUUUUUUUCUCAUUUCGCGAAUUCUCUCUUCUUUCGUAUCCUCCGACUGAUGAAAUCGACGAGCAAAACUGAAGAAAAUCUUCUCUUAAUCGUGAUCAACGAUUCCAUCCUUCCGUUUUCUCUUUUUCUUUCUUCUUCAUUCUAUGGCGAUUCGAAUUUCUUCUAUUCCGGUCUUUGGAUCUUAAAAUACGUGUAAAAUGUGGUGUGUUUGAGUUUGUGAAGCCCUGGUAUUCAAUUCUCAACCUCUGUCCUCUUGUCUCUUUUUAGGUUGACGAAGUUGACGAUGCUUUCUCUGCACUUCAAUUAUGAGUUUUCCAAAUUCGUUUUUUUCAGAAUUUGAGAGUCAUAAAGGAUUUUGUAUUGAACGAAUCGUUAUCUUUUAGCAUGGCUAAAAGGGCCUUCUUGUGCCAUUUACUUGUUAAAAUACAAUUUGAUUAUGCUUGGUCUCUGUACGUUCUGUUUUUAAAUAACCAAACUCAGUGAUCAAUAAAGUGUGCCAGUGAUUACUUGAUGUUUCCUUGAAUUCGCAGUAAUUAAACAUAAGAGUUAGGAGUCAUAAACAGUUAAGAGGUAGAAGAAAGUUUGAGAAAUAAGUGACCAUUGGAUACAACUUUUUCUGUUUGAAAUGUUAUUGUGACCGAGGGACAAAUCUUUUGAGGUGUAGAAACAACAGAGUCGAUUAAAGAGUUAUAGUGAUUAAUGCUUUGCGUAGUUGUCUUUAGGAAAUGUUCUUGAUCCUCCUCUCUCUCUCAAAAAAGAUGGGUCAAUGUUCUGUUUCUGCGUUUCGUCCAUAUACUUCAGGAAAUGGUAUUCAGACAUUUGAUCAUUCCCUUUAACUUAAACAACAAUAGGGCUAUUACACCAAUUCACUCUUAAAAAUACUCAUCAUCUCAUUUUUAAAGAACUAACACAUUUAAUUUGUUAAGAAAAGACUUGUGAUUUGGGAUUUGAUAAUGCUUAAAAAAAUUAAUCAUGAGAUUAUAUCCCUUAAUCUCUCGUCUAUCCUUGAUGGAUCAAUCUGAUUGCUUGGAGAUCAAAUUGUAUGUGAUUUUUUUUUAAGUUUCUACUUCGUUGUGAUUUAUAUUGUUUCUAUGUUCAGGGCAGAUUUCAUGUAGUGAUCAAGCUCUUCUCUCUCUAUUCUAGAGAAACUUCAUACACAAACACAACUUUCAACUUUCAGGACCGUUCGAAGAAACUGAAAUUAAAACAUGGAAAGGUUCCAGUGGGGAACAUCACCGUUGAUAUGGUAUGGAUUCUAAUGUUUUUUGUGAUUACACAAAGGCUUUAUCUUUUAAACAUACUCGUAUAUAUAGUUUUACAUGUGGUAUUUGUGAAGGUACUUGGUGGAAUGAGAGGGAUGACCGGAUUACACAAUCGUAACCUCAUUGCUUGAUGCAGAUGAGGUAUGGUUAUAAAUUUGAAUCAUAUAGAUAAUCACAAGCUUUUGUUUCAAACUGGGAGUAGAUAAUUAAAUCAUAUUAUUUUUUCAAAAUUUCUGUUAUAUAGAUUGAAGGCUGAAGAACUGAUGGCUUAAAGGACGAGUGAAGGCUGUUACCUCCGGAGACUGCUUAGUGAUCACGGCUUUGAGCCACAACAGAGCUGGACCUCCACCGGAAAAGACCAUUACUUUUUCUUCUCUUAUGGCACCUAAGACGGUGAGUUUUAAUCUGUUCUUUUACCAGAUAUUAGUGUUUGAAACAAAAGCUUGUGAUCAUCCCAACCAAAUGCUGAAGCUGAAAACUGAAAUGAAAACAUGUACAUGUGAAUCGACUGUUUGCUUGAGAGAUAAUGGUAUGUGUGUGGUGAUGGUAAAAGAUUUCGAUUGUUUAUAUAGCACAAAACAAAUUAGGUUACGAUUGUGAGUCUAGAAGUAAAUAGGCGCUGGAAUUUUGAGGAUAUUCCAUAUUUUCAAAUUUGAUUUGAUUUGUUUAAAUUUUAAUUUAAAAGCUGUUAUGGUAGAUAAUUAGGAAUAGUUAUUUGAUUUAAAUGUUAUGGAAUAUUAGAAGGAAGAUAAGGAAUGUAGUUAGGAGGACUUAUAUUUGGCUUUGCUCAUUUUACGGGAUCGCAUAUAGGAGAGUAUAAUUUUUGGUUUAAUUCAUUGCCAAAAUUAGGAGGUUAUAUUCUUGUUGUGAUUAAGACUGAUUUAGUAUAUAUUCUUCAAUCAAAUCGGGUAAUUGAAUCUCUUUUAUGUUAACUACAUUGAUUAUCUGAAUAAUCUAACCGAGAUUUGUGCGCUUGUUUGCAGGACCGGCAAAAUUUGAAAGUUUUGAAAGAGAGGUUUGGGCCGAAAGAGAGAGAAUAAAUCGAUUUGGCCCAAAGAUCCGGACAAAAAAGCAGGUAAAACCCAAAAAAAAAAAACGACCCAAUAAAUAUGGGUUAAGUUGUACUUCAAAAAUGUUAAGUAGAUAUGAAAACUUAGUUAAGGUGUUUGUUUGAAUUAUGUUAAGGAAGACGAACAAAAGGACAUGAUAUGCUUAGUUACACAAUUAGCUACCAAACAACAUCAGAUUAAAUCAUCACAAAUCUUCUUCUUCCCGCCCUCGAGAUGAAUCUUGUGUCUUCACCGCCUUCUAUUGAGUGGUUUUGCUGAAGAUGAAGUGCUAAUUGUUGGUCUUUUAGCACCUGUGGCAAAUCAAGAGAUGACUUAUGAGCAAAUUGGCACUAAAGAUCUACGGGAGAUUCUACUGAGUCGAAACAAGCAUCUACUUCAUAUGAGAUCUUCAUAGAAAUCUAAGUAAGCUUUGAUUAGAGACUGCUAUGAGUGUAAUUAGAGGCAAGCAUAUUUGGUUUUUAGGACACAAGUCAAAGAGUUGAUGUAUAGAGACAUUAUCUGUUAAAGCCUUAGAGGAAGAGCUAGUGGCAAUUGACAUACGAGACGGUCUGGUUUUGCCUGGUGGUUUCAAGGUCUGCUUUGGAAUCUUCGAUGGAAUAUUAGUUCUGCUUUUAAAAUCCCAAAACAAAACAAAUAUAAGAAUCUGUAAAUGCCUUCAGAUUGUUCUCUUAAUGUGUGAUAGUAGAGGAUACUAACCUGUCUUUUGGUUCGGUUUUCCCCAUUUUCACUGAUUUCUCGAGUUUCUCAGAAGUCAUGCGUUCUUCAGGUCGUUCUAUUAUUUCAAGAGGCUAAGCAGUUUCAGGGAAUAGAGUCAACUCUACUGCACUGCUUAUGGAUCCAUCAGUUUAUGUUCCCACUGGAAGACAACUAUCAGAGAUAUCACUCAAUCUGUCCUCAGAGUCUGCAUCUGCAAGACCUACGAGUUCAACAUCUUCAUCAUCAAAAUUGAUUCCUUUCGCUGCACCAGCAAAUUUAGAUGGUUGGUGAUAAUCUUUUCGAUGUUUACGUUCGUCUGAUGAUUGUUGUGAACCAGAAUCUGAAUGCUUGCUGCUAUAUUCAAACCAGUUGUCAACAUUUGAGGUUCCUCUUCCAAAUAAACCAGAGGCCUUUCCUCGUCGAGCAUUUGGUGAAGCUCCGAUAGAAUGUCUUCUAGGUGAUGAAGGUCCCACCAACCUUAAAUUGCUUAAUCCACGUUUCAGGGAUGUUGCAUUAUGAUACAGUUCAUCAAUGUUACUAUCGUAAGAGGAAGGUGGCUAAAGAGUAAGGCAAAGGGUUCAUUGUUUCCUUUGAGAGUCAAUAAAAGGAGCCGUUGUUCAUCUCUUUCGUUUAUGCUUUUUAUGUUGUGUGUGUUGUGAAGCUUGCGUGCUUUUGAGGCGAUCAUUAUGCGAUCGACCUUGUUUAUCGUUCUGUAAUUCAUAUUGCUGAAACGAUCUCAUCUCCGAGUGUUUAUGCUUUGUAAACACUUUCUUUCAAUUGAUUUUGAGUCUAUUACAUUUUCUGGGUUUUGAGCUCUACGAUAGAUCUAAACUCUAUCAUUGGUGCGGUGAUAAGGUUCGUUACAUCGUUUCAUGAUGGAUCGUGAAGGAUCAGAGAUGUUUGAUGAUGAUAGCGUUACUUCUGACUCUGUUUAUAUUCAGAUGAGAAAUUUACGUUCUGGGUUUCAGGGUCUGUGUGAUGCUAAGGUACAAACGGAGACUAAGCUGGUUACGAUGGAGGAGAUGUUGAAAUCGGUGAUGAAGACGUUAGAUCGGUUGGAGGCUCGGGCUGGAAAGCAGGUGGAGGAUCCAGAGCCUUCUCGACGGUCAUUUUCGGGUCAGGUCCAUACGGAUUUGCCUGCGACGGAGAGCCGGUCAACUGGGUUACCUUUGGAGACCAGAUCUAGUCUAUUGGAGAAGAUUAAGAUGCCGGUGUUUACAAGACCACAUCCUUAUGCUUGGAUUUUGCAGGUGGAGAGUUUUUUUCGCGUGGGUCGUUUUAGCGAUGCUGCGAGGUUGGAUUUGGUGUCAUUGAGUUUGGAGGGUGAUGUGUUGAAAUGGUUUAAUUGGGAGGUUUCACGUCAGGAGUUUCAGUCUUGGGAAGAGUUUAAAGACCGAUUGUUGAUUCAUUUUGGUGGAACUAUUGAUGAUGAACCUGGUAAUCGUUUGUUUGCGAUCCGUCAACACGGGACAGUGGCAGCUUAUGUCACUAAGUUUCAGGAUUUGUCAUCUCAGGUAGCAGGUUUGGAUGAUUCUCAUUUGGAAAAAAUAUUUUACAAUUGGUUGAAGCAUGAUAUGAAGGAAGUGAUCAAGAUGAAAGAACCUAAAGGAUUACCAAAUCAUAUUGCUACAAUGUUAAAGAUAGAGUCUAGUUCGUUUUGUAGGAUGGUGAGAGAACGUGGGGAAGUGGUUAAAGAACCUAGUCAACCAGUUACUCAACCAAUACGACCUGUAUUCACUGCGACUCAGACUCGUCCGCCGUGGAGUCCUACUGGUUCUGCGUCUAGUAAGCCAGCAGAGACAAGUCCGAAGUCAUUUGCUCGUCCUCGUAUACGACAUAAUGAUGUAGAGUUGGAUGCGAUGCGUAGUAUGGGAAUUUGUUUCAAAUGCAAAGGGAAGUAUUUCAGGGGCCAUGAAUGUCCUAUGAAGGAGUUGCGGGUAUUGACAGUGGUGAAUGGUUAUGAGUUGGAAGUUUUGGAAGAGAAUAUGGUGGAAUGCUUAGAGGAGGAGCUGGUGUUGACUCUUGCCACAAAACUUGAAUUGCGAACUUUAUCAUUCAACUCUUUUGUUGGAUUACAUUCUCCAAGAACAACUAAAUUGGUGGGAUGGAUUGGCAAAACUAAGGUGAUUUUUAUGAUUGAUUGCGGUGCUUCUCACAAUUUCAUUACUCCUACUACAACAACCAAGUUAAACAUCAAAACGCAGAGCGAGUUGGGUUUGGAUGUGCUAUUGGGUAAUGGAGUCCUAGUACAAGGUAUUGGCACUUGUAGAGAUGUCCAUUUUGGGUUGUCUCACCUUGCAUUUCAGGGUGACUUUGUCGCACUGGAGUUGGGAAGUAUUGAUGUAAUCCUCGGAGUACAAUGGUUGGAAACCUUGGGUAAAUGUUUGGUGGAUUGGAAGUUACAGGAAUGGACGUUUAUGUAUAAAGGGAGGUUAGUACAUUUGAAGGGUGACCUUUCCCUUCAUGAGUCUCCUUUAUCCUUGAAGUCUCUUGUGGCAGCUCCCUCAAUUGGGUGUCCUAGGAUAUUGUUAGCUGCGCUGAAGGGAAGUGACCCUCCAGCUACUCUAUCUCUAGUUCCUCCUGCUGUGACUGAGUUGUUAAACAAGUUUCCACAGGUUUUUGCAAUGCCUUCUGGCUUACCACCUAUACGGUGUCAAGAGCAUGCGAUUACCUUGCAGCCUGGUGUUACCUCCAUCUUUGUGAAACCUUAUAGGUACCCACACGCACGGAAGGAGGUUAUGGAGAAAAUGGUUGCAGAGAUGUUGAGUUCGGGUAUAAUUCGCCCUACUAACAGUCCAUUUUCAAGCCCGGUGCUUCUUGUCAAGAAGAAAGAUGAUUCCUGUCGCUUCUGUGUUGACUAUCGAGCAUUGAACAAGGUCACAAUUCCGGAUAAGUUCCUUAUUCCGGUUAUUAAUCAGCUAUUGGAUGAGUUACAUGGUUCUGUUAUAUACUCGAAACUCGACUUACGCUCUGGAUAUCACCAGAUUAGAAUGAAGCUAGCAGAUAUUGAAAAAACAGCUUUUCGAACAUUGGAGGGUCAUUAUGAAUUCUUGGUCAUGCCUUUUGGUUUGACCAAUGCACCAGCUACAUUCCAAGGCCUCAUGAAUAAGAUAUUCAAACCAUACUUGCGCAAGUUUGUGCUUGUUUUCUUUGACGAUAUUCUGGUGUUUAGUGAUAGUGUUGAGGCACAUGUGGAGCAUUUAAAAUUGGUAUUGCAGUUGUUGGAGGAGCACCAGUUGUUUGCUAACAUGAAGAAGUGUUCUUUGGGAGUGUCUAGUGUGGAAUAUUUGGGCCACAUUGUGUCUGCUAAUUGUGUUGCAACUGAUGCAGCAAAAACUGAAGCAAUGCGGCUUUGGCCUACUCCACACACCAUAAAACAGUUGAGAGGUUUUCUGGGCUUAACGGGCUAUUACCGAAAGUUUGUUCAGGGUUACGGGAUAGUGGCAAAGCCCUUAACAGAUUUACUUCGCAAGGAUCAAUUUAUUUGGUCUCCGGCAGCUCAAGAAGCGUUUGACAAUUUGAAGAAAGCCAUGUCAUCUGCACCUAUUUUGGUUUUACCUGAUUUUACCAAACAAUUUGUAGUCGAAACGGAUACUUCUGGAGUUGGAGUGGGAGCAGUUCUUAUGCAAAGCUAGCGCCCUUUGGCGUACUUUAGCCAUGGCCUUACACCACGCGAGCAGCUCAAACCAGCUUAUGAAAGGGAAUUGAUGGCCUUUGUCAUGGCAUUUCUCAAAUGGAAAGCUUUUACAAUGUGAAAGGAGAUUACAAGUGUAAAAGUAUGUGUGUGAAUGUAAGCUGAAUUGAAUGUGUCUUCCAAGUCGUCCUUGCUCCCUUAUAUAGGUCUACGCACGUGGUAGCUCUGUCCGGGAUCUGCGGAGAUCCUCCUGGAUAUUCGGCAGGGCAGUUCCGAGAUAUCAGGUCCGCUCCGCGAAUAUCUCAUCAUCAGUUCCUAGGUUGUUAUUCGCUUAUCUCCCUUCAUCAGGUGACCGGGCUUAUCUGGCCCAAAUACCCAUUCGCGUAUGUGGGCUCAUCAGCUGCGUAAGUCCCCUACUUGGUGGGUUUGGUGGGCUUUUGUGGGCUGGCUUGGUAUUUUCGCAGAUGGAUUCCUGGAGGGAAAUCCAGCUCCAACAUUUGCCCCCCAGCCCAUUGAGUGAGUAGGCGAACUCGAUGAGCGGACAUAUAUGUCAGGUGAGAUUGCAAAAAUAUUCUUGAUGAGAUGAUAGAUGUGAUAAGAUCAGUUGGUUUUGAGGAUAAACUCAACAAAACAAACGAUUUGAUUUCAGAUUCCUUAACUGAAAGAUUUCGAGGAGAUACGCGAGAUAAGUCGCUGCUGAUGUGGACAACUGAGAUGGAGCGUCUCUUCAGCGUACCGCAUCUGACAGUCCAGAUCAGGCGCAGAGAAGAGAUCUCUGCAAUCUCGAAAAUUGUGGUGAUGAUGGCUUUAAAUAACUUCCCACCUCUCCACUUGACGUCACGUCAACUCACACGACUCUCAAGGUAACUUCUCUCCUCCUUUAUUAUUUACCGUGUUUUGUUUUGUAAAGAUAAAAAAAUCUCGUCUUUUUUCUUUUGGUAUCUCCUUCGUUUCUCUGCUACUCCCCUCUUUCUCGAUCUGCCCUCUUUGCUGUUUUCUUUCAUCUCUCUCGUCCUUCUCUGUCGAAACCCAAAGAUGAGCGACUUCGAAGAUUCCAAGAAUAAAAGCAACCACAGUUACAGCGACGAUGAGAGUUCGUCCGAGACGAGGUCGGCGGCGUCGCCGCCGCGAGUGCAAAGACGCGUCAUAAUUUUAGGCAGAAUGGGUCCAAUUCGUCCGCCGUCAACCAGAGUCGACAAGCCAAAGAAGAAAAAGGCUGCCAAGCAAGGAGGAGGCACGCCGAUGACGAACAGCGACCUGGUCAACCUCCGGAGGAGAUGCCAGGUUCCGGUGGGGGUAACAAUGAUACUCCCAAAGCCGCCGCUGCAUCCUGAGAACGUGCCGAUAGGGUGGUGCUACGCUUAUGCCAAUUUCUUUGAGAAAUGUGCCUUAUUUUUCCCGAUUCUGGCGUGUAUCCUCGAGAUGCUCUACUAUCUCGGCCUCGCCUUUCUCCAGAUGUGCCCGAACUUUGUCCUUCAUGUACUGGCGUUAAUCACCUGGGCUCGGGAAGUAAACAGAGAAUUCAGCUGCCACGACCUGCUUUAGCUCUACCAGGUGAAGACCAAUGCUAGGAGCGACCAGGGGACAUACUACAUCAGUGCUCGUCUCGGAUCUCUGGUCCUAGGCAGUUUGAAGGCUUGUUGAGACACCAAUUGACGAUCUAAGUACUUUUUCUUCAGAGUAGAUCGUCAUUCAAUCGGCAGUUUUGAUCCCUCGAGGAUAACGUGGACCUGGUCUACCAACCUGGGUCAGAUGGAGACCUUAGCCUCUUAAUUUUUUUGUUGUUUGUGUCGAAUUCGUGACUGCUUUUGCAGAACGUUAGUACUGAAACUAAUGUUUUUUUUUUUCUUUGAUGGUUUGCAGCAAGGACCAUGGAAGUUACUCUCUUAGAGACAGAACUCGAGCUGUUAACCCUUCUCCGACAUGGUCAGACUGACUGGGCAACUUUUACGAGAGAUCUCAUCGUAGCUGCUCUUUCCGUAGCUCCAGCAGUUCUCGUAGCUCCAUCAGUUCCCGCAAUCGUCUUUCCAUCAGCACAGCUAGAUCCGAUCGAAGAGGUCCCGCGAAUUGAACCGAUCUCCGAGGCUUAUCUGCCUAUAGGUACGAGUUCUGUUAUUUUAUUUUUAAUGUACGAGUUAUCGAGACAGCCGCGCAAUUCGAGCUGCUAGCUAACACAUGUCGUGCUUUGUCUAUUCAGUUCCUCCUGACUCCAGCUCCACUUCAGAACUCCCCUCAUUAGAAGAAUGAGGUGUCCAAGUCUUCGUGUUCAACGAGCCAACGCCGGGACUCCUGCUUGGGCUAGUGAUCUAUCGGCCGCGGUGACCGCGGCUCGAAACACUCUAGCUGUCUCCGGCGCAUCUGCCUCAGCGUCUCAUCCCUCGCUUCUUGAGAUCAAUACCGGGACCUCUGCUGCAGCAAGUCAGUCAAAUAACAAUCAGGUCGCUUAGGUGUCUGGGCCAUCUGGAGUUGUUCGUUCUAACGGUGCACCGUCCUCUCCGAAGAGAGCUCGGACCUAGCCAGAGGUGCAUCCGGCGGCUGAGUUGGUCGUGAGUGACCAGGGGGUCGCCUCUCCCAGAGAGGAGAGGAUAGAACCUGCGGUUGCUAUUCCGGAGGCAGCUGCGUCCGAGGAUAGGCGAUCCUCGGGCAGGUCCCAUGGCGGAGGCCGAGGCUCCAGAGGUGGGGACAGGUCUUCAAACCAGUCUCAGGAAGUGAGGCAGACGUCCAACUCUGGUGGAAGAUCCGCGGGAAGCAGGCCUUUCCACUGGUCUUACAUUCACGACCGUGAUCACCCGAUCGUUGAGGACGAGGCUGGGUUGGCGAACCUGCUUCGCCACAUCAAAAAGAGGAACUGCCAGGUUCCUGCAGUGAAGAACAUGGCCGAGGCGGCGGCUUAUGCUGACAUGAUGGUGAAGGAGGGCCAGGUAAUAAUCGAUAAAUGCCUCGUUCUAAUUUCAUUCUUAUGCUAGUCGUAACUUUCUGUUUUGCCUUUGGCAGGCGAUAGCUGCCACAAACAAGCUGGUCGCUCUGUAUGAGCAGCGUCUAAGCCAGGUCCCCUUGGCGAGUGAGCUCGAAGAAAGAAAGACCCUCAUCCGGGAGCUGACGUCGAGUGUGAAGGCUGGUCAGGAACGCGAGGUCUCGUUCCAGGUAUACCUUGGUUUUGACUUGUUUGUAUAUAAUUCAUCGAUGAUUCGAUGAUUCUGACCUGAUUGUGAUUUCAGGCGGGGAUCGAGAGGCUGAAAAUGGAGCUGCCCACUUCAAAAGACCUCGAGAAAGGUUAUGCCAAGAAGAUCGGGCUCAUGGGGAUGGAGAUCGGGGGUUUGCAAGCCGACAAGAAGACGGCGAGGAACCUGAUUCAUCGCUUGGACCAGAGGAGGGAAGUGAUUGUAAGUGAUUGUUUUUGCGAAAAAUGAUAAUGAGUAUCAAAAAUUUUCUUUUAUUCUUAUCUCGAAAUUGUUAAGUACAAAAAGAGGUAAAGCAAGCGACGAUCAGGCGUUUGAUCAUCGAGUAGGGACCUGCUCGAUACCGAGGGGUGAUUGAACUGUUGAACUGUCAGGUGAGAAGCUGAUCUUCGUUGAUGGAAGAUGUGAUGUCUGUUUCCCUUGUUGAAGUUUCGUCUUUCAAAUAGAAGGGUUGAGAUGGUAAUUGCAUUUGCAGAGGGAACUGCCUGCAUACCUGGUUAGGGGAUUAAGCCCUUUUGUAAUUCGAUUGAAGUGGUGGCUGCGCUCUUGGGGGGAGCUGCCUACGUACCCUGCCAAGGGAUCAAGCCUUAUCGUAGUUCGAUUGUUUUUGAGUACCUAUUCGUGGUAUUUCUUGAGAUGCAUGGCAUUCCAAGGCCGUAACUCAGGUACUCCGUUGAUAACUUUUACGAGUUUAUAGAGGUCGUCACGUACCACCUCGGUGAUUCGAUAGGGACCUUCCCAGUUAGUUCCCAGUUUUCCAGCGUUUAGCUCUCUCGUGUUGCUGAACACUUUUCGUAAUACGAGCUCUCCCACUUCGAAUGUCCGAAUUUUGAUAUUAGAGUUAUAGUAGCGGGCUGCAGCUUGUUGAUAGUUUUGAACUCGGAUCAUUGCCUGAUCUCUGCGUUCAUCGAUGAAGUCCAUGUUGUCCUGUAACAUUUGCGUGUUCAGGUCCGAGUUAGCAAGACUGGCGGUCCUUCUCACGCUUGGUACUAUGGUUUCGAUAGGGAUUACUGCUUAUAAACCAUAGGCGAGAGAGAACAGUGUUUCUUGCGUUGAUUUACGAGGUGUAGUUCGGUAGGCCCAGAGAACUCCGUGGAGCACGUCGGACCACAUUGAUUUUUUGGAAUUAAGUCUUUUCUUGAUGUUGCUAAGUAUAGUUUUGUUGGCGGCUUCUGCCUGUUCGUUACCUAGUGGGUAACGGGGGGUGGAUGUGGUAAGACGGAUCAACCACUUGUCGCAAAAUGCUUUGAUUUUUCCCGAGGUGAGGUUAGUCCCGUUAUCGGUGACGAUCUCAUAAGGUAUGCCAUGUCGGCAUACGAUAUUUUCCCAUAGGAAGUCCUCGACUUGUUUCUCGGUUACCUGUUGGAAGGCUUUAGCCUCAAUCCAUUUGGUAGAAUAGUCGGUGAUGACCAGCAGGUUUUUUAGUCUCUUCUUCCCACCGGAGGCUUCCAUGGGACCUACGACAUCCAUGGACCACUUCAUAAAUGGGUAAAGAGAAGAUAUCGAGAACAUUUCUUCGGGAGGUUGAUGAAGAGUAGGUGCAUGUCGUUGGCAUUUAUCGCACCUGAGUGAAUGAGCUAUGCAAUUGGCUAGCAUUGUUAGUUAGAAGUAGCCUUGCUUUUUGAUUAUGAGGGCGAGGGUACGUCCACUAUAGUGGCUACCACAUUGCCCCUCGUGCAUGUUUUUCAUGAGGUCUUUUAUUUGUUGCCCGUAGGUACACACCAUAUAGGGACCUGCGACGUUGCGUUUCAUAAGUCUCCCUUCCAUGAUGCAGUACCUUGCGCUCUGGGUUUUGAGUUUUCUGGUCUCCCACUUGUCGGGAGGUGUGAUCCCUCGUUCGAUGUAAUCGAUGAUUGGGAUUCUCCAGUCGUUGUACGGUUCAGGUUCGUAUGAGGCAGGUUGUUCGGGGGUUCCGAGCUCAGGCUCUUCCUCCGCUGCACCUGCCUCCGCAGCUGCUGCGAGGGCUCUAGCCGCGGUGGUGGUGCUUCGAGUUACUCGCGUAAAGUUGCAAGUUGUCGAGGUUUCGAUCCCAGCGUGUUUGACCGUUAGGUCGAUGCUUGGGUGUUCUAUUCCUUCGACCGGUAUAAUUCUUUUAACGAAAGGAUCUAACGUGGAGGCGAGAGCUGCAAAGGCGUCUGUAGAGGUGUUUUCUCCUCUGGGGAUCCUGGUCAAUUUGAACGAUUCAAACUGUUGGGUCAAGGUUUUGACUAGUUCGAGGUACGCUUCCAUGCGCUCGUCUUUAGCUUCAUAUUCCCCGUUGAAGUGGCUGGUGACGAGUUGGGAGUCGCUAUGGGCGUGUAUAUCGCGGAUCCCCAUUCCUUGAGCUAGCUUAAUGCCAGCAAUGAGGGCUUCGUACUCAGACUCGUUUUUUUAAUGCGUUGAAUCCGAGUCGGAACGAUUGUUCGAUAACUUCCCCGGUGGGGGAGGUGAGUUGUAUUCCUACUCCGGAUCCCUGUCGGUUGUAGGAGCCAUCGACGUGGAGGAGCCAUUUCUUAUUGGAGUUGGUUCCAUCCAGGUCCGCUAACGGGAGCUCGAUUACAAAAUCGGCUAGGACCUAUGCUUUCAAGCUGGUUCUGGUGCGAUAUUCUAUAUCGUACUCACUUAGUUCUAUGGCCCAUUUUGCAAGUCGACCUGAUUGAGUUGGACUGUGCAGAAUGGUUCUGAUUGGUUGAGACGUCAUCACUACGAUGGGAUGUGAUUUAAAAUAUGGUCUCAGUGGCCAGUGCCAGUUUUUCCAUUGCUGGAUAACAGGUUUCAGCGUCUAUCAACGUUUUACUAACGUAUUAGAUCGGUUUCUGUCCUUCGUGAUCUUCUCUCACCAGGACGCCGCUUAUCGCGGUUCGGGAGACUACCGUGUACAGGUAUGCGAGGUAUGCGAGGAAUUUUCCUGAGGGAACUCCGAAAGAGCAUUUCUCGGGAUUUAUCUUACUCUCGAAUUUGUUUAGGAUUUUGAAGGAUUCUCUUAAUUGCGGGACGUGGUUUUUUCGCGAGCUGACUUGAUCAGCAUGUCGUCGAUAUAGACCUCCAUCAUUUUACCUAGGAUGUCGGCAAACAUUCUGUUCACCAAUCUUUGGUAAGUAGCUCCAACGUUUUUUAAACCAAAGGGCAUUACUUUAUAACAGUAGGUGCCUCGGUUAGUAAUAAAAGCUGUUUUUUCUUGGUCAUCUGGGCGCAUAAGUAUUUGGUUGUACCCGGAGAAUGCGUCCAUGAAAGACAAUAGUUCGUGUCCCGCGGUGGCUUCGACCAGUUGGUCAAUAUGUGGGAGUGGGAAACUGUCUUUAGGACAUGCCUUAUUCAGGUCCGUAAAGUCGAUGCAUACUCUCCACUUCUCGUUUUUCUUUUUAACGACGACCGGGUUGGCGAGCCAGUCAGGGUAUUUUACUUCUCUUAUCGAUCCGAUCUUGAGCAACCGAUCGACCUCAUCGUGCACAGCUUUAGCCCUUUCGGGACCUAGCUUGCGACGUUUCAGCUUUAUAGGUCGGUAGGUUGGAUCGACGUUGAGUUCGUGUGAGGUUACCUCGAGGCUUAUUCCUCGGAGGUUCGCACUUGACCAGGCGAAGCUGUCUUUGUUUUCUUUGAGAAAGGUUAUGAGAUCCUCUCGUAUCGCUUGGUCGAGGUCCUGACCUAUCCCAACGCAUCGUGUGGGAUCUGAUUCGUCUAUGCAGACCUGUGUUAUCAAUGAUUUUCGAGGUCCGUGUUGAGAAGGAUCAGAGGAUCUGACUGUUUUCAUUUCCGUGAGUUUGUCUUCUAUCAUUAGUACUACGGGGUCAGCUUUUUUGAUAAGCUUGUAGCUGCCCAUAUAGCAUUUUCGGGAGAUGCGUUGGCUGCCGUAUACAACUGCUAGCCCCUUGUCCGAGGGGAAUUUAAUGCAUUGGUGGUAGGUUGAUGGGACGGCUUUCAUGGCGUGUAGCCAUGGUCUUCCCAGUAUUGCGUUGAAAGGAGCUUUCUUGUCGACUACGAGGAAACUCUGGAGUCGCCUCACUCCUCGUGCGACGGUUGGGAGCUGGAUGGUUCCUAGAGAAGUGGUUGUAUCUCCAGCGAACCCGGUAAGAGGCGUUUUUCUGCCUUGCAGUUCGGAAUCGAGGUGCCCCAUUUUUUUGUAGGCGUCGUCAAAGAGUAUGUCAACUGAGCUUCUCGUGUCGAUCAUUAUACGGGAGAGUUCGUAGUUGCCUACAUCGAUUCGAAUAACGAGAGCGUCAUCGUGAGGUUUAUCGAGGUCGGUGGUUUCGCUUUCCCAGAAUAUGAUCUGGUGGUCAGGUCCCAUCAUCGGGCUCUUGCCUUUUGUGUAGGAAUCUGCCUUCCUCUGAUGAGUUUUGAUCGAAUUGAUUGAGUCGUUGCAGAGCUGAGAUCCUCCCAUGAUGAAAUCGAUGCGUUUCGGGGAGAGGUGCUCGGUCUCGCUUCUGCAGAAUUUCGAGAGGCGUAAUGGAAACCUCAUGUUUUUCUUAUGGGGGGCGGGGGGAGGUGUGGUGACUGACCUUCCUGUCCUGCCACCUAGAUCGAGUUCUACAAAGACUAGGUCUAUGCGUUCUCUCCUAGUGGGUGGGGGAGAGUCACCUCCCUCCGGCGUUCGUUCCCGUUUCUUUUGUUUGGGAGUUUGCUCCUCCUCCUGUUCGUCGGGAGGAGGGAUUUCAACUUUAGGGUUUGAACCUUUUUUAGUUUUGCCCCCAGCUGCGAUUAAUUUUUUGACAGUGCGACACUCCUCAGUGGAAUGUCCUCUUUUUUGUGGUACUUGUAAUAUUUUCCGAGGUCAAGUUCUGGACUCUCGUCCUUAGCUACUCUAUUGCGAAUAAGGUAUGCUGCCCUUGCGUUUGGUUUUCCUUUUUGAAGGGUUUUUUAAUUGCAAGGGGAGCGUUUUGCGUUUUAGAUUCUUUGAAUCUUAAGGGUAGCACAGCGAGCUCCUCUUCGGCUUUGGCGAAGUUGAGAGCUUUGUGAAGGGCAUCAGCUAAAGAGACUGGUUGCCUAACAAUGAGUUCCUCACGAAACCUAGAGGAAAACCACAGACCGUUACGAAGGGCUGCUAUGGCUACCUCCUCGUUUAAGUUUGCAAUCUUCGAUUUGAUUGCUUUGAAUUUUGCGACGUAAGAUCGCAGGGAUUUGUUCUGAAGUUGAGUGAGACUCCAGAGGUCGGCUUCAGACGUCCUGUGUUCGAUAAGUACCGAAUAUUGUUUUAAGAAAGCGGAAGCGAGCUGGUCGAAGGUAUCAAUGGAGUUCCGUUCGAGGCUAGCAAACCAUUCGAGGGCGUGACCUACGAGGUUUUCUACGAAGAAACGGCAAUGACCUGCUUCGUUUUCUUCGUCUGUCAGGUACGCUCGAGUUAUAGCGAAACGGAAGGAUCUCAGGUGAGUCUUUGGGUUGCUCGUUCCGUCGUACUCCGGGAAACGGAGUCUCCCGACGUCUUAGAGGCGAAAAUGAGCGAUCCUAUCCGUGAACGGGGUGCUCGUGGUUUCUUCGAUCACGCGAUCCAUGUCGGGAGCAUCGCUCACUGGUAGAUGCAUUUGCCAAUGCAUUUGAGCCAUGUUCGCAUUUGUUUGCGCUGCGUAAUUGCGGAAUGUUUCCAUAUCUACGACGUUACGCGGAUCGACCAGUGCUUGGGGAUCGGUUGAACUGUUAAGGAGGUCGCUUCCUGGUAUCUGGGGAAUGGAUGGCGGAUUAGCGAUAGAGGUUCGUUGUUGCGUUGAGUUCCCGGGAACGCGGGAGCUGGACGCGGUUGUUUGGUUUCUCGUCCACGUGUACCUAGGAGGCAAAUAGCCAAGUGAUAGUGAAGGUGGGACCGGUAGCCUUGGGAAGGCAAGUGUUGUGCUCAUCUCGUUUCCUGUUGCCGGGUUUUCGACGAGAGUGUUUGUAGGUGCCUGCAAAAAGGUGACCUACCGGUUGUUAGGAGGUGAGACGUCUAUCGAGAUGAAGUCUAGACAAGUCCUUGGAGUAGGAUCGAGAUGAAGUCUAGACAGACGGUACCUGUCAGAUCAAUGGGGACCUGGGCAGGAAUCCUAGUUUCGCGGGGGGAAAUUUCCUUACCCGCAGUAUCGCGCUCUACCUCAUGUGCCAAGCGAGUGGAGUCCCGUCUCUGCUGACCCACAAUUACGGCGAGGUUGCGAUGCACAAUUUCUUGGUUUUUGGUUAAGUUGAUCAUGUUCAUGAUCAUUGCGCGGAGCUUGGCCAAUUCUCUGGCAGGUCGCGGAGGGACCUGAUUAGACGGGUUGGCCGGGUUAUCUCCAUUUGGAGGCUGUAUCGUGACGUUUUGUUCUCUGCCCCUUGUUUGCGGAGGGGGAGUGAUUUGGUCAGAUUCAGAAGAAUUCGAGUUUUGGGAGAUGUCCUCCGCAUCAGCGUUAUGGACAGCAUCAACCCUGGUUCCGAGAGGGAGAUCCGUUGGGAGGUGCCGGUCCGUAACGUCAUCGUUUGGGAUCUGAACUGGUAAGCCAGAUCCCGAUAAAUUGGAUGAAUUGGGAUCCAUGAUCAUUGGUCACAAUUGAUGUGUUAGUUUCGGUGUUGGAAUGAUCUAUUUCCGUCCCCACAGACGGCGCCAAAUGUGGGUUCUGAAAUCCACACUAGAGAUUUGUAAUUGAGAUUAUGAGAGUUAUAUUGCUAAGAACGAAUGGACUUUUUGUAUUGAUAAUGACAAAGCUUUUACAAUGUGAAAGGAGAUUACAAGUGUAAAAGUAUGUGUGUGAAUGUAAGCUGAAUUGAAUGUGUCUUCCAAGUCGUCCUUGCUCCCUUAUAUAGGUCUACGCACGUGGUAGCUCCGUCCGGGAUCUGCGGAGGUCCUCCUGGAUAUUCGGCAGGUUAGUUCCGAAUAUCAGGUCCGCUCCGCGAAUAUCUCCUCAUCAGUUCCUAGGUUGUUAUUCGCUUAUCUCCCUUCAUCAGGUGACCGGGCUUAUCGGGCCCAAAUACCCAUUAGCGUAUGUGGGCUCAUCAGCUGCGUAGGUCCUCUACUUGGUGGGCUUGAUGGGCAUUUGUGGGCUGACUUGGUAUUUUCGCAGGUGGAUUCCUGGAGGGAAAUCCAGCUCCAACAGGUAUGAUAAAAAUAAAAAACAGUAUGAAUUGCCUUCAACGAAUAAAAUUAAUGUAUUAGUUGUUGGUGGUUUCAGUUCUACAAUAGGAGAAAGAGAUGUUAUUUUACAACACCAUGCUGGAAAUUUACAACGAAUUUGGAGUACUCAUCCACUUUAUAUGACUUUACAAUAUCCAUUAUUAUUUCUAUAUGGUGAGAUUGGUUAUUAUGAAGGUAUUCCUUGUUCACAAAUAAAAAAUAAAGAAGGGAUUCGUUAUACCUCUUUCGAAAAAGGACAAAGAGAAUAUGUAUCAAUGAGAGAGUACUACAGGUAACUUAUUCAUACACGGAAAUGUCAAGAUUCGAUCAUUGUUAAAAGUGGGAGAUUGUUUCAUCAAUUUAUUGUUGAUGCUUAUACAACGUUAAAGUCAUACCGUUUACAAUGGAUAAGAACAAAUCAGAAAACAAUUCGAGCUGAUAUAUAUAAUAAUGUUAGAGAUGCUGUGUCCAGAGGUGAUAAUGCUCCAAGAAGUAUUGGAAAAUGUAUUGUAUUGCCAUCGUCCCAUACAGGUAGUCCAAGAUACAUGGCUGAAAAGUAUCAAGACGCUAUGGCUCUUUGUCGAUAUUUUGGAAAUCCAUAUUUAUUCAUAACAAUGACUGCAAAACCAAUAUGGGUAGGGAUUAGUGAGUUCUUAGAGUUGACUGGUGAUUUAUCUGGGACUGCUAGACCAGAUAUUGAAUCACGUGUUUUUCAUAUGAAACUAAAACAACUAAUCAAUGAUAUUGAGAAGAAACGUUUUCUUGGACCAACUAAUGGAGGUACAUAUUUUCACAAUCUCUUUUUCUAAUAUAUUUUGUUUUUUAUAACUAAGUUGUUGUAUUCUUUUUUUGGUAUAGUUGUUUACACUAUCAAAUUUAAAAAAACGUGAACUUCCGCAUGCACAUAUACUUAUUUGGUUAAACACUGAUUAUAAAAACCCAUCAUCCGAAGACAUUGACAAAUUUGUAUCUGCUGAAUUACCAAACGUAAAUACUGAUCCAGAAGGAUAUCAAUUGAUAGAGCAACAUAUGAUACAUGGACCUUGUGGAGUAGAUCGACCAACAAAUUCUUGUAUGAAAAAUGGAGAGUGCAGUAAAACAUCUGCCCGUCAAUUUUGUUGCUCUUCUUCUGUAGAUAAAGACGGAUAUAUAUAUAUAAUAUAUCAAAGGAGUAACAAGAAUUCAAGGUGUAUACUGAAUGGAGAUAUAAGGUUAGAUAAUCGAUAUGUGGUACCUUACAACUUAGAGCUAACGAAAAAAAAAAAAGGCUCACAUCAACGUUGAAUUUUGCAACAAGACUAGUGCUAUACAAUAUUUACUUAAAUAAAUCACUAAAGGAGUUGAUAAAGCGACAGUGGUAUUAAAGAGAAAAGGAAAACUAUCAAUAAAGAUGUAAAUGAAGGAAACGAUGCAGAUACAGUAAACGAGAGAGAUAACUAUCUUGAUUGUAGAUAUGUAUUUGCUUGUGAGGCGGCAUGGCGCUUAUGCCAAUUUGAGAUAGAUCACCAAAGUCAACCAGUUCAAAGACUAAGUAUUCAUUUGCAAAAUCAACGUCAAUGCAUAUUUAGAGACAAUGAUCACUUGGAAAUAAUAGCCACUAACAUGAAGAAUCAAAACAACAUGUUUACAGGUUGGUUUGAGAUGAAUCAAAUGAUCCAGAAGCUCGUAAUCUGUCAUACGUUCAAUUUCCAACAAAAUAUGUAUGGAACAAAAGUUCACGAAGUUAGAAUAAAAUAAAAAUUGGUACUCAAUUGGUAGAAUAUAUAAUAUUCAUCCUACUGCGGGCGAGUUGUAUUAUCUUCGAAUGAUAAUCAAUUAUAUAAAAGGACCCACAAGUUAUGAAGAUAUUCUUACCGUAAAUGGUAUAACUCAUAGUUCUUUUAAAGAUGCAUGUGUUGCAAUGAGUCUAUUAGAAGGAGAUGAAGAGUGGCAUGAGACAAUGAAAGAAGCCUCUCUUUGGGCUACAGCAAAUCAGUUGCGUAAUUUAUUUGUGACGUUAUUAGUUCAUUGUGAAGUUAUAAAUCCUUUGAAAUUGUGGAAUUCAUAUUGGAUAGAUCUAAGUGAAGACAUGGUGUUCGAGCAAAGAAAGUUAUUUAAUUUUAGAAGAAUGAAUUUGAGUGAAGAGGAAAUGCAAAGUUACACCUUAAUGGAGAUUGAGUUGCUUCUUAGGCGGUAUGAACAGUCACUGAUUGAUUAUCCUGGAAUGCCAAAGUUAGAUAAUAGUUUUAUAACCAGGUUAUCUAACUCAAAGAUAAGAGAAGAAAAGAGCUAUAAUAUUGAAAAACUUAAGAAUGACCACUUCACUCAGUUUGCAACUUUAAACGAACAACAACAUGAUAUUUAUGAUGCUUUAAUUCGUUCAGUUCAAAACAAACAAGGCGGAUUGUUUUUUUAUAUGGUCGUGGUGGAACAGGUAAAACAUUUGUAUACACCUCUAUCAUUAACCGUCUCCGUACUGAAGAACGUAUAGUUCUUCCAAUAGCAUCUUCAGGUAUAGAUGCUCUACUUUUGCCAGGAGGAAGAACAGCUCAUUCAAGAUUUAAAAUACCUUUAAAUCCAAGAGAUGAUUCAGUGUGUGAUAUUAAAGCUAAUACUAUAUUAUCUAGGUUGCUAAUUGAUACUGAACUUAUAAUUUGGGAUGAAGCUCCUAUGACACAUAAGUAUACUUUUGAAUCUCUCGACAGAUCUUUGAGAGAUAUAAUGUUUAGUAGUGACCCAAAUUCUAAUAUGAAGCCUUUUGGUGGCAAAACUGUUUUGUUGGGAGGUGAUUUUUGUCAAACACUACCUAUUACAAGUCAAGGAAGCAGGCAAGAUUGUGUUUCAGCAUCAAUCAACCGUUCUUAUCUUUGGAAUUACUGUCAAGUUUUUACGCUUUCAGAAAAUAUGUGUUUAGGAAAAACAGAAAAAGAUUUUGCAAAGUGGAUUUUGGAUGUUGGAAACGGUAUUGCUAAAAGGAAAAUCGUUCUUAAAUGAAUUUUCAGAAGUUGAUCAAAUCAUUGUGGAUGAGAAUUUGUUGCUAAACGUUAAACAUAAUAGUAUCUCAGCCAUUGCAGAACAUGUCUACACAUCAUUUGAAAAAAACUAUGCUAAUCCAAAUUAUCUAAGGGAUAGAGCUAUUAUUACUCCAAGAAAUGAAAUUGUGGAUGAAAUUAACAAAGUAAUGUUAGAUUGGUGAUAUGUCCCGGCUUUUACUGAUUUCUACCAUAAUUUUAGAAUGUUUUUAGAGUCGAUCUAGUCCUUUUUGUAUGUUUUGAGUCGUUUCAGGUGCAAUUAUGAUAAUAGGUUUUUAAGAUCAAUUAAUCCUAAAACACUAUCCUGUCGUUGUAGUAUUUUAGGUGUCAAUCCAAAUGGGUGUGAUGCAAACAGAUGAGAUAUGAUCAGAAGUUGCUAAGUAGAGCCAAGCAAUAUUUGGUUGGUUUUCUAAAGUCCUAGUGUUUGAUGCAGAAAACAUUAAAAAGUCACAGAAAUGACUGAUAUACUCGAUCGUAGGGUCGACUGCCAGAAGGGACCCUAUGAUCGAGUACAACGGGAUGACACAGAGUGAAAAUUCAGAAAUGGAGCAGUUUACUCUAUCACACAGUCUCACUGUUAGUAGCAAGGUGUGAUCGAGUAGAAUGGUUGAAAACUGGAAAAUACUAAAAUUUAAUAGCAAGUGAAUGACGUAGGUAAAUAAACAGAGAAAUCAAUUGGAUGAGAAAUUCCUAAUGAUGGGGUAAUCGAAUAGUGUGGACUCCCUAAUCAAUUCAGUUGGUUAUCAAAUCUCAAUAAAGCUUUCCCUAGACAAUGGGUUCAACAAAAGAUUAAUUUACUCCCUCGAUAGAAAUCCUCAAGCAAAGCUAGCCCACACUAAUUUCCAUUAAUGGAAUCUAACAAUGCAGACAAUAAGAAUGGACUGAUAAAGUCAAUAAACGGUCAAAACGGCCAAUCUCUUGGGAUAGAGACGGUUAUCACUGGAAUUAGUAGAUCUAACGUUCCAUUAAACGCCUUUUGAGCGCUGAAACGUCUAGGAUUGGAUUCCAGUUGAUCAGAAAGUAAUAAGCAGUAAACACAACUAAUCCAGAAGGGAUUCAAUAAAUAUACACUUAACCAACAUAUUCGACCAGGGGUUCCACAACUACUAUAUCCCAUCCUCAGAAAUCCUAAUCACUACUCAAACAACAUGCUCAAAGACAACAACAUAUAAGCGAUUGAAGAUUGCAUACUUCUAAAGAUCAAAGGAAAUGAAACAGAAAUGAACAAGUAAAUGAAAGCAAAAUCUGAAUAACUUAGAAGAAAAAUCGAAGUACGAAGUUAUAGGAAUGAAAAGCGGCUGCUGAAUAAGUUGCAGAAAUCUCUGUAAAAAGUAGGUGUAUGUCUCCCUAUCCCAGGGCAAAACCCUUAGAGACUUAUUUAUACUUAAAACGAUAAGGAUAAGGAAGCGGGCUUUGAGCCCACUUAACGGCCCAUGGACGAUGUGAUCAAGAGUGUCGGCUCAAAGCAGGCUUCCUAAUGGGCUUCGAAGUGGGCUUCGAAUGGACUUCGAAUGGGCUUUCAAUGGGCCUUAUCUUCUCUUCUCUUUUAGUUGCUCAGGUUGUCAGGUUGAGUGCGGACUGAUCAGAGGGUCGAGGUGGUGGUUGAGUAGGUUGGUUGACAGAAUGGUCUGGGCUGCUUCUUGGCCUCUAUGAUCGAGUAUAUUGGCAGCUGUCAGGAUGGACUGGUUCUUCUCCUCUGCGAUCGAGUAAAACUGCCAGGAUGGACUCCUUCAGCUCUGUUAUCGAGUAGAACUGCAGAAUGGACUGCCUCCUCACCUCUACGAUCGAGUAUAUCUGGCAGAAUGGACUGCCUGGUCUCCUCUGCGAUCGAGUAGAAGUGUCUGGAUGGACUGCUGAGCUGACUGCUUCCCUCUCUACUACUGGUGAUCGAGUAUGUUAGUGGAAAUGUGACUUUCUGUUAUGUCUUUCCUCUUUCUGAGCACCAAUAGCUCCAAAGUACCUGAAAUAACUCCAGAAUGCAGAAUCUAUGCAAGACUAGUCCUAGACUCGACUAAAAAUGCAAAAUGUACAAAACUGAUUAUGAAUGCUAUGAAAGAUGGAUGAAACUAGACUCAAAAUGAUGAUAAAAGGAUGUGUAAAACAUGCAAAUUAUAGACAUAUCAAAUUACACAUUUGUGAUCUAUGGAGCAUAAUAAGGGAUCUUGGGAGCUUUUCAGCAAUGAAAUUUAUCAAAGACGUUUUUCACACGAUGGUAUGAAUCGACACCACACCUAUGUCAAUCGACACCCUUAUUUCGGCUGAAGGAAUUUCCGCUUUUUACCAAGUCUUUGAGAAGUCGUGAAGUUUCCCUUAUUUGCAAAAUAGUCCCUGGACAUUUCUAUUCACUUAUACCUAAUUAUUUGGUCAUUGGUGAUACCUAAGUUUUGUUAAGUUUUGUUUUAUUAUUGAGAGACACUUGUGGAGAGAAGAAUCCAAUCCCUACAGAGAGGAUUCUGAACUCCUUUUACUCUAUUUCUAAUUCAUCAAUGCAAACUAUUCAGAUUAUGAUUUGUGUUUUUGUUAUCAUGUCUGAGUAAUAACCUUGUUGGGUUUAGGGAGUCUCCAUAGGGAUUUAGAUGGAUUAGUAUAUCGAAAACCCCUUAGGGUCAUUUUUAGGGUUCUUCAUCUUGAUUAUUCUUACUGCUAGUUUUAGAUUGAUCACCUAGAACUUGAUAUUAGAUAAUAGGUAUGCCCACCAUAGCUACUUGUUAUUUGAACAAUCAUUGAUGAGCCUAGGCAUUUAAGAAAGAACAGGUUUGCUCAUAGAAGGGCUUUGGUUUAGAUACUAGGUGAACUAAUCAAACUUGAUAAUAAUGCAUGCUUUAGUAUAUGGUUUCUCGGCUUUUUCGGUUAUCUUAGCUCUAAGUAUAGAGAGUUUUGCGAACACCACUGGUUACUCUAAAGUCAUAGUUUGAGUUUGAGAACGGUGCGAUAACAACCCUAAUAUUAGCUAGAUCUACAAUUUAUGUAUCUCCCGAGACAAUUCCCUAGACCCAACGCUUUAAUCACUUGUAUCUACAGUUUACUUGCUUUAUUGUGUUUUACAUUUAUAUACUUUUUCUAGCUUAUUUGAAUACAUCAUAAGUCUAUUGUGUGAACAUCGAGAGCUUAGUAGAAUUCGACCCUUAAGUGCUAACGACGAUCUCUUAUUUGAGGGAGUAAGCUUAAGGCAAUUUGAGCUAUAUCAAUUGGCUUCCAAGUAACAUAAAGGUGUAUCAAGAGCAGAUUCAGUGACUAAUAAUGAAUAUGAAGAAACAGAUUUUGGUUUACAGUAUCCUGUCGAGUAUUUAAACACUAAAAAUUUAUCAGGAUUUCCACAUCAUAAAUUAUAUCUUAAAGUCAAUACACCAAUUUUGCUUAUCCGGAAUCUUUGUCAACGAGAUGGGUUAUGUAACGGUACUUGUUUGAUAGUUCUUCGUAUGGGUCAUAGAGUAAUUGAGGCUAAGAUAAUUACUGGAGCUAAUGCUGGUGAUAUAGUACUUCUUCCUAGAAUUGUACUAUCUCAAAAUGAUGGAAAUAUACCAGUUGUUAUUCGAAGAAAACAGUUUCCAAUGAGAACUUGCUUUGCAAUGGCAAUUAAUAAAAGUCAAGGUGAAAGUCUUAACAGAGUAGGUUUGUUUCUUCCUAGACCAGUGUUUAGUCAUGGACAAAUGUAUGUUGCAUUGUCUAGAGUCACUUCUUUAGAAGGAUUAAAAAUUUAUCAAGGUCAUAAAAACAAUGAAGAAAAGAGUAUAGUUUGUAGUAUUGUGUACAAAGAAGUAUAUAAAAAUCUAUAAGUUUGUAAUUUUUUUUAGUUUUCAUUUUGUUAUAUUAUUACGGAGGAACAAACCCAAGAAAGAGAAAAAUCUUUUCAUACGAAAAGAAUAGACAAACUCGUAAAAGAUAGCUUCGAUGAUAUAAGAAAGAAAUAGUUAAUUAGUUUCUCCUCAUGCCGAAAUCUGUUAGAUGACGGGAACAUAUAUAAACUAAAGAUUAUUAGAUUGAAAGUAGAUGUAAUAAGGGUAUAUGGUUCUGAAUACAACAGAGAAGUUUAAAAAUGUUAAUUUCUCUAUUUAUCUAUAAAACUGUCUCCUAUACCCCAAUUUUAUUUUGCUUACGGGUAUGAUUGAAUAUUUAGUAUAUAGUUUAGUUUAGAAUUAGUUCUGUCAAUUUAGUGUUUUAUUUGUCUAAGCCAAAUCAUAUGGGUCCCUUUAACAAUGAAUUAAUUAACCACUUUAACAUUUUUGUUGCAUCUGGCGAAUAUUGAAAGUCUAUGAAACAGUCCCUAUAGCAAUAAGGCCCCUUCUUAUUUGAGCCCUUCUCAAUAUUAAUAUGGGUUACAAAAUAGGUUUCGUAAUUUGUUAAUAAGAAAAAAAAAUGGACACUUGACUAUGAUAUUCUUGGGUCUUUUUAAAAAUUUAUUAAAUAAAAUUAGCUAUUUCUGUAAAAUAAAUUAAUGGAAAAUGAAAUGGCAAACACACCCUAUUUGGGCCGAGCCUGCAUCUCAUAUUUGUUUUAGGGAUAAUGUGACAACAACACGGUCUUAAGCCUAAUACGUAAAGAUGCGACUAUUUUUUUUUAACAACCUUUAAAAAUCAUUUACGUCUAUUCAAACGUUUGACGAACGUCGCUGUGACAGUCUAUGUAAACUAGAGAUAUUUUGGAAAAUGAUACGUUUUUUGAACAUAAUUAUGAAAGCAGUACGGUUGCUAUUCAUAAUAGGUGAUUUCUCCGGGACCACCGUUCCGUCAAAUACAUGAGCUUCGUAAUAUAUAUAAAGUGGUGCAUAUUAGCUUUUGUGGAAAUUACGGUAAAGGACUUCUUUUGUUUUGUAGAUGAAACGAAACCCUCUAGCCGAGUUCAGGUUUUUGUUUUAGUAAGUCAGAGUCAAAGUUAAUAAAUCUCGGAUCGGUAUGGGCUCAACGAAAUCGUAAAUGGGCCUUAAAACAAAUUUUCUAUAAUUUGAAUCAUUGGAAGCGUUGAAACUAAAUUGCCUUCGUCGUCGUCAAAAUCAAUGUCGGAGUGGGAGCUGAGAGAAACGAUGACAUUUAUGAGUGUUUCAAAUCAACGAAAUUAGUUUACUGGUUGGUGAAUAAAAUCAUAUAAUAUUCAGAUUCUCUUUAGGUUUUUCUCGAGAUUAGCUAAUUUUUUAGGGGGGAAUUUUAGCUCUUUUUCGAGAAUUAAGUGUUUUAAAGCAAAAAAGAAGAAUAUGAUUGUCAGUUUUGGUUGUGUAUCUUUAUUCCUGAGGACCUUCAACUCAGAGAAUCUACCAUGG